UGAGCAAUCUGCCCUUCUCAUCGGAAUAAGCGUUGGAAACGACGUCUAAUGCCGAAUACGACCUCCUUUCGCAUGAUCGGAGGUGGAAAGCUCCGGCGGAGAAGGAUGAGCUCGCGGCCUAUCAGCUUGUUGGUGAGGUAAUAGCUCACCAAGGCGAUGACGGGUAGCCGGCCUGAGAGGGUGACCGGCCACACUGGGACUGAGACACGGCCCAGACCUCUACGGGA
This 227-nucleotide ribosomal RNA is filed under the name uncultured bacterium. RNAcentral describes it as "partial 16S ribosomal RNA". It matches the Rfam family "Bacterial small subunit ribosomal RNA", at positions 118 to 346 of the family's 1533-position model. The record is from RNAcentral.